Malus domestica (apple) is the source of this 607-nucleotide non-coding RNA. The record is from RefSeq and is a predicted model, not a curated record. Lineage: Eukaryota; Viridiplantae; Streptophyta; Magnoliopsida; Rosales; Rosaceae.
UCAUUCAAAAAGGAAAAGUUCCCCUAGCCUUCUCAUUCAUUCUUUAUCCUUCUAAAAUUCAACUUUACUAUUGUUACAUGUGCCAAUACAUAGUUUAAAUUUUCUAUUUUUCAUUAUGACGAGCACAUAUGUCCUAAAAGCAACAUAUAGAAAAGUCAAAACAGCAUACAUCAUAUGUGUGCAAUUGAGCUAGAACUCCUCCAUACGACAUGGGGUCUAUAUGAGUUUCAUUGCGGAAGCUAGGAUUUUUCAAUUAUCCUGAAAUCAAGCAAUACUUCUUCAAAAAUUCUAACCCUAACGAGACGCAUGCAGCUCGAUCUAUCUCUCCAGUACAAAUUCAUCUUUCUUCACGAAGUAAGAGUUAAGCUUUUUGAUGACUUGUUGAUUGUCAGAGAGCCGGCUGUUGGCAAACACCAAGCUAGCUGAUGCAUGCAUGCAUGCCUACUUUCUUUGAUACUCUCUUUUUUGGGGCCGGCCGAUUAUAGCUUUUUUAAGCUUUUACGAAAUUUCCACUCCAACGUUUAUUUGAUAGUUCUAUCAGCAGAUCGAUUGCUAAUCCUCAGUUCUCAGAACUUGGUUUAUUAUAUACAACACAUUCUCACUUGAA